AUUGAACGCUGGCGGCAGGCUUAACACAUGCAAGUCGAGCGGAGUGAUGGUGCUUGCCCCAUCACUUAGCGGCGAACGGGUGAGUAAUGCCUAGGAAUCUGCCCAUUAGCGGGGGACAACGUGUGGAAACGCACGCUAAUACCGCAUACGCCCUACGGGGGAAAGCAGGGGACUCUUUGAGCCUUGCACUAAUGGAUGAGCCUAGGUCAGAUUAGCUAGUUGGUGGGGUAAAGGCCUACCAAGGCGACGAUCUGUAGCGGGUCUGAGAGGAUGAUCCGCCACACUGGAACUGAGACCCGGUCCAGACUCCUACGGGGGGCAGCAGUGGGGAAUAUUGGACAAUGGGCGCAAGCCUGAUCCAGCCAUGCCGCGUGUGUGAAGAAGGCCUUUUGGUUGUAAAGCACUUUAAGCGAGGAGGAGGCUUACCUGGUUAAUACCUGGGAUAAGUGGACGUUACUCGCAGAAUAAGCACCGGCUAACUCUGUG
Molecule: ribosomal RNA, 486 nt
Filed under: uncultured bacterium
Lineage: Bacteria
Description: partial 16S ribosomal RNA
Rfam family: Bacterial small subunit ribosomal RNA
Source: RNAcentral